This 485-nucleotide long non-coding RNA is filed under the name Chloebia gouldiae (Gouldian finch). Its description in RNAcentral is "Erythrura gouldiae (Gouldian finch) lncRNA (ENSEGOG00005001809.1)". Lineage: Eukaryota; Metazoa; Chordata; Aves; Passeriformes; Passeridae. The record is from RNAcentral.
UGAAAGUGUUCAUGUCACAAAAAGGAGAUACAUGCAAGUCUACGACUUUAAUUGACAAAAAGAGCUCUGUCACAGUGAUUUAUUGAUGGAAAAUCAGAAGGAGACUGUCUUCAAAAUGGCCAGUCAACUGAAGAAGCCAGACUGGGAACAUCUGUAUCUUCCUAUUUGAAAACCUCACCUGUUGCUUGCUCCUGCAGAGUACCUUGAAACACUGACCACUCACUUUGCCAGUUGAAGAGUGCCCGGUCAACUCCGCUGGAAGCCUGGGAUCAUGGAGAAGGAGACAGACUCUAGCACUGUGCUGCAGAUAUGGAAAGCAUGGAAUUAGUUUUUGUGGAGGCUGCAAGGAGGGAGCAGUCUGGUGCAGAUGUGCUAGUGCAUAGAAGGGCCAGAACAAACACCAUUUGCAAUUCAAGUGCCUUUAGACCCUAGAUGAGACUGUCUUGUAACUGCUUGCACGGUGUUAUGUAGCUUGAUUAAAGGUA